Molecule: ribosomal RNA, 478 nt
Filed under: uncultured bacterium
Lineage: Bacteria
Description: partial 16S ribosomal RNA
Rfam family: Bacterial small subunit ribosomal RNA
Source: RNAcentral
GACGAACGCUGGCGGCGUGCUUAACACAUGCAAGUCGAACGGUAAGGCCCUUCGGGGUACACGAGUGGCGAACGGGUGAGUAACACGUGGGUGAUCUGCCCUGCACUUCGGGAUAAGCCUGGGAAACUGGGUCUAAUACCGGAUAGGACUCCUGGCUUCAUGGUUGGGGGUGGAAAGCUUUUGCGGUGUGGGAUGGGCCCGCGGGCUAUCAGCUUGUUGGUGGGGUAAUGGCCUACCAAGGCGAGGACGGGUAGCCGGCCUGAGAGGGUGAGGGGUCACACUGGGACUGAGAUACGGCCCAGACUCAUACGGGAGGCAGCAGUGGGGAAUAUUGCACAAUGGGCGCAAGCCUGAUGCAGCGACGCCGCGUGAGGGAUGACGGCCUUCGGGUUGUAAACCUCUUUCAGCUAUGACGAAGCGCAAGUGACGGUAGUAGCAGAAGAAGGACCGGCCAACUACGUGCCAGCCGCCGCGGUAA